RNAcentral lists this ribosomal RNA (512 nucleotides) under uncultured bacterium. Its description in RNAcentral is "partial 16S ribosomal RNA". It matches the Rfam family "Bacterial small subunit ribosomal RNA", at positions 28 to 523 of the family's 1533-position model. The record is from RNAcentral.
GACGAACGCUGGCGGCGUGCCUAAUACAUGCAAGUCGAGCGAAUGACGAGGAGCUUGCUCCUUUGAUUUAGCGGCGGACGGGUGAGUAACACGUGGGCAACCUGCCCUAUAGCUUGGGAUAACUUCGGGAAACCGGAGCUAAUACCGAAUAAUUCAUUUUCUCUCAUGAGAAGAUGCUGAAAGAUGGUUUCGGCUAUCACUAUAGGAUGGGCCCGCGGCGCAUUAGCUAGUUGGUGAGGUAACGGCUCACCAAGGCGACGAUGCGUAGCCGACCUGAGAGGGGGAUCGGCCACACUGGGACUGAGACACGGCCCAGACUCCUACGGGAGGCAGCAGUAGGGAAUCUUCCACAAUGGGCGAAAGCCUGAUGGAGCAACGCCGCGUGAGUGAAGAAGGUUUUCGGAUCGUAAAACUCUGUUGUAAGGGAAGAACAAGUGCCGUAGUAACUGGCGGCACCUUGACGGUACCUUAUUAGAAAGCCACGGCUAACUACGUGCCAGCCGCCGCCGUAA